Molecule: ribosomal RNA, 287 nt
Filed under: uncultured bacterium
Lineage: Bacteria
Description: partial 16S ribosomal RNA
Rfam family: Bacterial small subunit ribosomal RNA
Source: RNAcentral
GGAUUAGAUACCCUGGUAGUCCACGCCGUAAACGAUGCAUACUAGGUGUUGGCUUUCGAGCCAGUGCUGCAGUUAACGCAUUAAGUAUGCCACCUGGGGAGUACGUCGGCAACGAUGAAACUCAAAGGAAUUGACGGGGGCCCGCACAAGCGGUGGAGCAUGUGGCUUAAUUCGAUGCAACGCGAGGAACCUUACCUGGGCUAAAUCCACAGUGAUGUCUUCUGGAAACAGAAGGUCCCCUUGGGGCACUAUGGAAGGUGCUGCAUGGCUGUCGUCAGCUCGUGCCG